GUCUAGGAUGGGAAGAGAGGGGCGCUCUAAUCCGGGAGACAGUGGAUCACACAGCCCGAAAGAGAGAGAGAGGAGAGCGAGAGAGGGGGCAUGCAUCCAGUGCUGGAUUGUGCCUGAAAUGGGUCAGAUUAAAAGACACGAACCAAAAGGAACCGAGUGACUCCUUGCGGAGAGAGAGGACCUUUCUGAAGACCAAGAUUUUUUUUCACCACUUCAAACACAAGAUCAUAAUCGUCGACAGUACCAGCGUGUAGGGAUGUGAUAGAGCAGUGUGGCCAAUAGAAGAACGUCCUGUCUUUUUUCCAGAUAUAGCCUAAUGUAAAACUAGCCUUCUGUAGUUUGUCAAUUGCAUGGGAGGAGAGAGGAGGCAUCGCGCGUUUUGUCCGAGGGCGUUGAUCAUGGACAAAUCGAGGAACUGCAUUCAAGCCAAGUUAAAUGGAACAUACAGUACUGGUCGCAGUGGGAUGUAUGACUUCAAACAAAUAGCCUUGUGAUGCGCUGCCAUCGGUUAUUUCUUCUGUUUUCCGCUCGUCUUUUUGUGUGUUGGGUCAGGGUACAGCUGUAAUUUGUGCGGUUUUGAGGAAGGACAAUGCGAGAGUGUGUAGCCUCGGCUGAUAUUCUGUGCAAGGUAACCUGCCAGGAGAUGCGUAAAGACGCAUACCCAAAAAUCCAGGGCAUAAUUGUUGACUAAUGCUAUGCUAAUGACAAAGCUUAUCAGAUGCAAGCUUUGUUUCAGAUCCACUGAUCAGGCUAUUGGCUGUUUGCUGAUGGGGUUUAUUGCCGAGCUGUGGCGCAGUGAUAUCAAUAUGUGUGCAUAGAAUCCAAAGAGACGCAGGACGAGAAUGUGCUCGCGCGCAUUAUUGCUGGUGUAGGCGAUAAAUCGGCUUGAGAUUUGAGUGUCUGCAUGCGCGCGGGCGUGUGUGUACGUGGUGUGACUGUGUGCUAAAAUCGGCUUUAGAUCUGUGCUGUGUGUGUGUGUGUGUGUGUGUGUGUGUGUGUGUGUGUGUGUGUGUGUGUGUGUGCUAUAGGUGGGCGUAAUGCGCACAUUAAUAUCAUCAAAUUAUUUCACCACAGAUCACUUACACAUCAUUGGUCAGUUUUUAGUGUUAAAUGUCCUGUUUAUUUUUGAGGUAUUUAAAUGCAUCUAUUGCAGGAUGCAGGAUGCGAAACAGGCUUAGACUAGAAAACAACUGGACUGUCGCCAAAUUGGGGUCAUGGCCUACAUCUUUAACAUAAACAUAUACUGAUAUCACUUUUAUUCUGUACGUCUAACAUUAUUUUUAAGGCAGAUGUUGUCGAAAAGCUCAUCACAGUGCGCCGGUUUGUUCGCUUUUUACUCAAAUCUGUGUAUUUUUAGGCCUAAAAUCAACAGACUUCAAUAUGAGAUUUGAUUUGUUUAAUAUAAUUUAAUAUAGAAUUUAAGAAAUGUAAAGUAUUGGGUGUUGAAUGUUAAAUGUAGACCUAUAACCUAUAGGCGCGACUUAAACCAUAGAUGCUCCAAAUGUACCUGCCAUAGCUACACACUUUGUCUGAAUCUAAACAUCAAACAUCUACUAGUGUUAAUCCAUCACUGCUGUUUUGAAUAUUUACUGUACCCACUUUCAUAUAAUGGUAAACAGGCCAACUCACUGGUCCGCAACGCCGCUGCAGAUUCAGGUGACAGUGAUCUGUGAUUCUUUUCGGAUCUAAAGGAGGCCAGCAGCUCCUCUACACACUGACUGGGGCUCAAACCUCUGGCCUACAGCAGAGUCUGACGAGCCUUCAGGACAUGAAAACUACCACUGCUCUGACGGAGACAACAUAUGGAAAUAUAAGCCAUUCAAUGCCACCUACAGGCGUCCUCUGCACAACGCAGCGUGGAGGCUGUGACCAAUACAUUUAGGCCAUAAAACAGGCUGUAAUAUUAAAAACAAUCAAUGCAAAUACAAAAGCAUUACAUAGAUAAAUAAAAUACUUAUAUCUAGACCAGCUUUUAUAAUGUAGUAAUAAAAUGUGAAUGCUUUAUGAUUCAUUACUGAAGAAUAUACAAAGCAUUUGUGUGAAAAAGGUUUGUAAAUUUUAAUAAUUCCUGCAGGUUAGAUAUUUUAACCUGUCUCUAAAUGAUUUGGAUUACUUACACAGAUUAAAACCAAUUAAUAAAUAAAUCAAAUGUAAUCACAUAACCUACUAAAAGGUCAUUUCUGCUGUAUAAAUCAGAUUAUGUCAGUGGUGACUAUUUUAUUCUAUGAAAUGGUACAUGACUGCUUCAGUCUAUAUAAAUAAAUCUGGAUUUAUAAGUAAUCUGUAUAAGUAAUAAAUAUGCAUAUGAGCAUUAUGUUGAAUAAAAAAACACCCUUUUAUGGGUUAAAUUUAGCAUUUCUAUCCACGUACGUCAUACGUCAUGAUAUUAAGAGUGUAGAGUCAGGGUGUGAUAAUGUUUGCCUAUUUUAUUUCACAGAUGGAUAUGCUUUGUAAUAAUGUGACAAUAAAUAAGUCUAUGUUGUUCUAA
Molecule: long non-coding RNA, 2488 nt
Organism: Sphaeramia orbicularis (orbiculate cardinalfish)
Lineage: Eukaryota; Metazoa; Chordata; Actinopteri; Kurtiformes; Apogonidae
Exons: 2
Source: RefSeq, a predicted model, not a curated record